GACGAACGCUGGCGGCGUGCCUAACACAUGCAAGUCGAACGAAGCUUUUGAUUUAGGUUGAGAGCUUAGUGGCGGACGGGUGAGUAACGCGUGAGUAACCUGCCUUACAGAGGGGGAUAACGUCUGGAAACGGACGCUAAUACCGCAUGACAUUUCUUUAUCACAUGGUAAAGAAAUCAAAGGAGCAAUCCGCUGUAAGAUGGACUCGCGUCCGAUUAGCUAGAUGGUGAGAUAACAGCCCACCAUGGCGACGAUCGGUAGCCGGACUGAGAGGUUGAACGGCCACAUUGGGACUGAGACACGGCCCAGACUCCUACGGGAGGCAGCAGUGGGGGAUAUUGCACAAUGGAGGAAACUCUGAUGCAGCAACGCCGCGUGAAGGAUGAAGGUCUUCGGAUUGUAACUUUUGUACUUGGGGACGAUAAUGACGGUACCCAAGCAGCAAGCUCCGGCUAACUACGUGCCAGCAGCCGCGGUAAUACGUAGGGAGCAAGCGUUGUCCGGAUUACUGGGUGU
Molecule: ribosomal RNA, 516 nt
Filed under: uncultured Oscillospiraceae bacterium
Lineage: Bacteria; Bacillati; Bacillota; Clostridia; Eubacteriales; Oscillospiraceae
Description: bacterial SSU rRNA
Rfam family: Bacterial small subunit ribosomal RNA
Source: RNAcentral